This 1214-nucleotide ribosomal RNA is filed under the name Bacteroides caccae. RNAcentral's name for it is "bacterial SSU rRNA". It matches the Rfam family "Bacterial small subunit ribosomal RNA", at positions 1 to 1240 of the family's 1533-position model. Lineage: Bacteria; Pseudomonadati; Bacteroidota; Bacteroidia; Bacteroidales; Bacteroidaceae. The record is from RNAcentral.
UGGAGAGUUUGAUUCUGGCUCAGAACGAACGCUGGCGGCGUGGAUAAGACAUGCAAGUCGAACGGGAGAAUUGCUAGCUUGCUAAUAAUUCUCUAGUGGCGCACGGGUGAGUAACACGUGAGUAACCUGCCUCUUAGUGGGGGAUAGCCCUGGGAAACCGGGAUUAAUACCGCAUACGAUUGAAAGAUCAAAGCAGCAAUGCGCUAGGAGAUGGGCUCGCGGCCUAUUAGUUAGUUGGUGAGGUAACGGCUCACCAAGGCGAUGACGGGUAGCCGGUCUGAGAGGAUGUCCGGCCACACUGGAACUGAGACACGGUCCAGACACCUACGGGUGGCAGCAGUCGAGAAUCAUUCACAAUGGGGGCAACCCUGAUGGUGCGACGCCGCGUGGGGGAAUGAAGGUCUUCGGAUUGUAAACCCCUGUCAUGUGGGAGCAAAUUAAAAAGAUAGUACCACAAGAGGAAGAGACGGCUAACUCUGUGCCAGCAGCCGCGGUAAUACAGAGGUCUCAAGCGUUGUUCGGAAUCACUGGGCGUAAAGCGUGCGUAGGCUGUUUCGUAAGUCGUGUGUGAAAGGCAGGGGCUCAACCCCUGGAUUGCACAUGAUACUGCGAGACUAGAGUAAUGGAGGGGGAACCGGAAUUCUCGGUGUAGCAGUGAAAUGCGUAGAUAUCGAGAGGAACACUCGUGGCGAAGGCGGGUUCCUGGACAUUAACUGACGCUGAGGCACGAAGGCCAGGGGAGCGAAAGGGAUUAGAUACCCCUGUAGUCCUGGCAGUAAACGGUGCACGCUUGGUGUGCGGGGAAUCGACCCCCUGCGUGCCGGAGCUAACGCGUUAAGCGUGCCGCCUGGGGAGUACGGUCGCAAGAUUAAAACUCAAAGAAAUUGACGGGGACCCGCACAAGCGGUGGAGUAUGUGGCUUAAUUCGAUGCAACGCGAAGAACCUUACCUGGGCUUGACAUGUAAUGAACAACAUGUGAAAGCAUGCGACUCUUCGGAGGCGUUACACAGGUGCUGCAUGGCCGUCGUCAGCUCGUGUCGUGAGAUGUUUGGUUAAGUCCAGCAACGAGCGCAACCCCUGUUGCCAGUUACCAGCACGUCAAGGUGGGGACUCUGGCGAGACUGCCCAGAUCAACUGGGAGGAAGGUGGGGACGACGUCAGGUCAGUAUGGCCCUUAUGCCCAGGGCUGCACACGUACUACAAUGCCCAGUAC